CUCCUGAUGGAACUUCGAAAGAG
RNAcentral lists this small nuclear RNA (23 nucleotides) under Arabidopsis thaliana (thale cress). RNAcentral's name for it is "snRNA_04684". Lineage: Eukaryota; Viridiplantae; Streptophyta; Magnoliopsida; Brassicales; Brassicaceae. The record is from RNAcentral.